RNAcentral lists this ribosomal RNA (478 nucleotides) under uncultured bacterium. RNAcentral describes it as "partial 16S ribosomal RNA". It matches the Rfam family "Bacterial small subunit ribosomal RNA", at positions 28 to 507 of the family's 1533-position model. The record is from RNAcentral.
GAUGAACGCUGGCGGCGUGCUUAACACAUGCAAGUCGAACGGGAAACCUUUUAUUGAAGCUUCGGCAGAUUUCGCUGGUUUCUAGUGGCGGACGGGUGAGUAACGCGUGGGUAACCUGCCUUAUACAGGGGGAUAACAGUCAGAAAUGGCUGCUAAUACCGCAUAAGCGCACAGAGCUGCAUGGCUCAGUGUGAAAAACUCCGGUGGUAUAAGAUGGACCCGCGUUGGAUUAGCUGGUUGGUGGGGUAACGGCCCACCAAGGCGACGAUCCAUAGCCGGCCUGAGAGGGUGAACGGCCACAUUGGGACUGAGACACGGCCCAGACUCCUACGGGAGGCAGCAGUGGGGAAUAUUGCACAAUGGGGGAAACCCUGAUGCAGCGACGCCGCGUGAAGGAAGAAGUAUCUCGGUAUGUAAACUUCUAUCAGCAGGGAAGAUAAUGACGGUACCUGAAUAAGAAGCCCCGGCUAACUACGUG